CAGCGUUUCUACACCCUACGAAACCCUCAGUCACUCUUCUUCCAGUUGAGAAGAUAACCCUUCUCCCUCUCUCCUCUCUCUUUCCUCUUCUCUCUGCGGCUACCGCUUUUACUACUCUUCGAUUCAAGAUGAAUGUAGAAAAGCUUCAAAGGAUGGCUGGGUCAGUCAGGACCGGUGGCAAGGGAACCAUGAGGAGAAAGAAGAAGGCUGUUCACAAGACAAAUACAACCGAUGACAAAAGGCUUCAGAGCACACUGAAGAGAAUAGGUGUGAAUGCAAUUCCUGCAAUCGAAGAGGUGAACAUAUUCAAGGAGGAUAUAGUUAUCCAGUUCCUAAACCCUAAAGUUCAAGCCUCAAUUGCUGCAAAUACCUGGGUUGUCAGUGGUUCUCCUCAGACUAAGAAAUUGCAAGACAUUCUGCCUCAAAUUAUUCACCAAUUGGGACCCGACAACUUGGAGAACUUGAAGAAGUUGGCGGAACAGUUCCAGAAGCAGGCACCCGGAGCUGCAGGCACGGGUUCAGCUGCAGGUGCAGCUUUGGCACAAGAUGAGGACGACGAUGAUGUGCCGGAACUUGUAUCUGGUGAAACCUUUGAAGCUGCUGCUGAGGAGGGUCACAAUUAAAGUUUUAAUUAAAUUUUGUGUCAUCCUUAAUUUUUCAAGUCUUCUAAGAUCUGUUUUGUCCUUAGUUGAAUGCUGAAUUUGAUGUCUCAUGUGACACUUGAAUGCAUUUACUAGUAUUUAACUUUGCCCUUAAAAGAACCUUGAAAGAGUUGUCUCUGUUAUAUAUGCACUUUGGAUUGAAGGUUCAGCUGUGAAGAGGAAUUGAAUUAUAUCCCUGGUGAGAACCCAAUCUUUUUGUUGUUGGAA
RNA transcript from Ipomoea nil (Japanese morning glory), 869 nucleotides. It is a transcript of the gene named basic transcription factor 3-like, with no coding region annotated. The record is from RefSeq and is a predicted model, not a curated record. The transcript is spliced from 7 exons. Lineage: Eukaryota; Viridiplantae; Streptophyta; Magnoliopsida; Solanales; Convolvulaceae.